GACGAACGCUGGCGGCGUGCUUAACACAUGCAAGUCGAACGGUGAAGCGCCUUCCUUUUUGGUGGGUGUGGAUGAGUGGCGAACGGGUGAGUAACACGUGAGUAACCUGCCCCCUUCUUCUGGAUAACCGCAUGAAAGUGUGGCUAAUACGGGAUAUUCUGGGUCUGUCGCAUGAUGGGUCUGGGAAAGAUAUUGUUUCGGUGGGGGAUGGGCUCGCGGCCUAUCAGCUUGUUGGGGGGGUGAUGGCCUACCAAGGCGGUGACGGGUAGCCGGCCUGAGAGGGUGGACGGUCACACUGGGACUGAGACACGGCCCAGACUCCGACGGGAGGCAGCAGUGGGGAAUAGUGCACAAUGGGCGCAAGCCUGAUGCAGCGACGCCGCGUGAGGGAUGGAGGCCUGCGGGUUGUGAACCUCUUUCGCCAGUGAAGCAGGCCUGCCUCGUUUGUGGGUGGGUUGACGGUAGCUGGAUAAGAAGCGCCGGCUAACUACGUG
RNAcentral lists this ribosomal RNA (494 nucleotides) under uncultured bacterium. RNAcentral's name for it is "partial 16S ribosomal RNA". It matches the Rfam family "Bacterial small subunit ribosomal RNA", at positions 28 to 507 of the family's 1533-position model. The record is from RNAcentral.